UGGGGAAUUUUGGACAAUGGGCGAAAGCCUGAUCCAGCAAUGCCGCGUGUGUGAAGAAGGCCUUCGGGUUGUAAAGCACUUUUGUCCGGAAAGAAAUCCUUGGCUCUAAUACAGUCGGGGGAUGACGGUACCGGAAGAAUAAGCACCGGCUAACUACGUGCCAGCAGCCGCGGUAAUACGUAGGGUGCAAGCGUUAAUCGGAAUUACUGGGCGUAAAGCGUGCGCAGGCGGUUUGCUAAGACCGAUGUGAAAUCCCCGGGCUCAACCUGGGAACUGCAUUGGUGACUGGCAGGCUAGAGUAUGGCAGAGGGGGGUAGAAUUCCACGUGUAGCAGUGAAAUGCGUAGAGAUGUGGAGGAAUACCGAUGGCGAAGGCAGCCCCCUGGGCCAAUACUGACGCUCAUGCACGAAAGCGUGGGGAGCAAACAGGAUUAGAUACCCUGGUAGUCCACGCCCUAAACGAUGUCAACUAGUUGUUGGGGAUUCAUUUCCUUAGUAACGUAGCUAACGCGUGAAGUUGACCGCCUGGGGAGCACGGUCGCAAGAUUAAAACUCAAAGGAAUUGACGGGGU
RNAcentral lists this ribosomal RNA (571 nucleotides) under uncultured bacterium. RNAcentral's name for it is "partial 16S ribosomal RNA". It matches the Rfam family "Bacterial small subunit ribosomal RNA", at positions 355 to 919 of the family's 1533-position model. The record is from RNAcentral.